CCAGAGAUGGCGCUGAGUGUACAGGGAACCUGGGGCUAACCUGAAUCAGAAAUUGGAAAGAAACAAGACUCAAGUCUGUGAGCACCGAAUCCUCGAUUAACCCCAGGAGCAUCCCAUUCAGGAUAGGAAGGAAAGAGAAGCAGAAGAACAAAUCAAAGAGACCUGCAUUAGGGAAAGGUGAAUCUGAGGCACAGUGCACACCAUUUCCCAGAAAUUUCCAGUGGGGAAACUGGAAAUGAUUUAAAAACAAAUCUACUAUGACAGAAUCUGACCAACCGGUUGAUUAUUGCAGCACAAUUGAGGACCAGGCAGUGUUCUUCAACCUCAGAACUUCGGACUUUGGACCAGACAGCUUUGUGUUGUGGGAGCCUAGUCUGUGCACAGGUGGAUGCAGAGCUUCACUCACUAGGUGUGGUGACAACCCUACACACCUCCACAUAUUGCCAGGUAAACUGGUGGACAAGCAGCACACAAGGGAAAGCACUGAAUGGAGGUAAUAUUUACAAGUAGUUGACUCUCCUGUUUUUUGUACACUCAGUAUCAUCAAAGCAGUGUCAUG
Non-coding RNA from Ictidomys tridecemlineatus (thirteen-lined ground squirrel), 559 nucleotides. Lineage: Eukaryota; Metazoa; Chordata; Mammalia; Rodentia; Sciuridae. The record is from RefSeq and is a predicted model, not a curated record.